UACUAAGAGCACACGGAGGAUGCCUAGGCGCUAGGAGCCGAAGAAGGACGUGGCGAACAACGAUACUGCCUCGGGGAGCUGUAAGCAAGCUUCGAUCCGGGGAUGUCCGAUGGGGAAACCCAGCUAGGUAAUAGCUAGUUACCGUAUCUGAUACAUAGGAUGCGAGGAGGAUACCCAGGGAACUGAACAUCUAAGGUACC
This 200-nucleotide ribosomal RNA is filed under the name chlamydia-associated clinical sample 589-S. Its description in RNAcentral is "partial 23S ribosomal RNA". It matches the Rfam family "Bacterial large subunit ribosomal RNA", at positions 1 to 210 of the family's 2925-position model. The record is from RNAcentral.